GUGAGUGUAGCUCAGUUGGUUAGAGCGCCAGGUUGUGGCCCUGGAGGUCGUGGGUUCGACUCCCAUCACCCACCCCA
Molecule: transfer RNA, 77 nt
Filed under: Clostridia bacterium
Lineage: Bacteria; Bacillati; Bacillota; Clostridia
Also listed under: 1 other name
Description: tRNA-His
Rfam family: tRNA
About the family: Transfer RNA (tRNA) molecules are approximately 80 nucleotides in length. Their secondary structure includes four short double-helical elements and three loops (D, anti-codon, and T loops).
Source: RNAcentral